GGAGCUUUGCCUUGCUGCUGAAAUGUGGAUUAAUCUGUAAUCAUGCAGGCUGGAAUUUCCUCCUCCUUUUCUUUAACUUCUGCCUCUCUCUCUUCCUUCUCCUCCUUGUUCCUCCACAUGUAUUUGUAAUGAAGAAAGUGAGGCAAAAUUGGCAUUUGUGGGUCUACGUAGUGAAAUGAGACCAAGAAUGCUUUGACCCCCUGAGUCAGUCAAAGUGCUUAGUGCUGGAAGAUAUUGUGGAGGGAUUCUCUUCUGUACACUUCAAGAUGGAGAACAAAAAUAAGCCUAAAGCCUGAACGCUAUUCCAGCCCUCUGUACAGCCUGAGCAGAAGUCCAUUUGCUGCUGUGCCAGAGAAAACUUCUCAACGGUCUUCUGCUGACAGACAUGAGAGAUGACUCAAGUUCAGCAGUGCAGGAAGAUUUCUGUGUUGUUUGAGGGCAUUUAGGAUGAAGAAGAAAGAGAGAAAGAGAGGAAAGGAGGAAGAAAGAAAGAAAAAGAAAUUCCUCUUGUCCAGUUUUGGACUCUAAGCUUCCAUUUUGCCACCUCUGAUCAGAGAAUAGAGGCUACAAAGUUGGAUCUUCAGCCUGCUACAUCUAUUUGCUGAUUAUUUGCUCUAACACCCAAACAAAAGCCUAUCCAUCAAGAGGCAAGAAGCAAUCAGCAGUCCAAGCAUCCUCAUUGUGUAGAAAGUCCCCUCACUAGAUGUGUGAUGGGUGUCUCAGUAUACUAAACAAGUGACCAGGCCUCCCAUGGACUCUAGGUGCCUCUCCACGGAAAUUCUCUCUCUCAUAUGUUUCAUUUACUCCUGAGAGUGCUCCUCUUCGUGCAUUCGUUCCCUUUCCUAUAUCUAUGUCUAUAUUUAUAUCUAUAUCUUAUAAACAAAAGGAUUUACCAUACUUUCAGCCCCAGGCCUCCACUGCAGCAUCCUUUGUAGUUAUCUAGACGCAAAGCUGAAAGUUAACUAGUUUAUGCUUUAGGUUUCAGUAAAAAUAAUGAGCAGAUAUAUUUUGAGAUUUUCUGAAAGAAUUUUAAAAUGUAUUUUCCUGACUAUUCUAAUUAUAGGUCACAACUGUAACUAACAUGCAAUUUGGUCAAGCUGUCGUAUUAUGGGAGCACGAUUCUCUCUAUGUUGUCCAUAUGUAUUGACAUAAAGCUUUUGGGAGGAAUGUGAAGAAAGGUAAUUGUGGCAGUACAAAGUAGAGAUCAAUUAUUUAUAUUACUUUGGGCAGAAGCGGGUCAGAUAUGACUUAGACUCAUUAUUUUCCUUAUUCCCUCAGGCCCCCACCAGUAAGUAUUUAUUGAUUCAUUCUCAGCAUGUGUGACUUUCCCUAAACUCUGCAUACAUGUUUUCAAGUUACAGAUGCUUCAUUUAGUUACUUGCUCAAUUAUUCACCUUAAGAAAAUCCAGUUUAUGCAAAAGUAUAUCUACAAAACAAGCAAAUCAAAGAAUUCAUCUCCCAAGACUUUCUGAACUAUAAAAUUAAGCCUUGAUUAUAAAAUUAAAAAUUACAAAAUUAAAAAAUAAAUCAUUAUGAAAUUAAUCCUUAAUGUUCUAAUGCAUCAUUGUAUAUAAUAAACUUACUUCUGUCUUAUGCUUAAAAUAGUCCUAGUCAUAAAACAUCCUUAGAAUAAUUGAGAAAGUCACCAUUUACAUUAUUUCUAUAUAUUCUGGUUCAAAUGAGAAAUCUUGAUUAAGAAAGUUUUACAUUCAAAUGCAGAGAGACACCUGGUAACUAAAAUAUAUGAAUAAAGAAGAACAUGUAUAAGGAAAAAUAACACAGAAAGUAAGAUGCUAAAUAAAAAUGCAAUAGGGGCAAAGUGUAGGAAGAUUUCCAUUAGCUACUAUAUGGGAAGAUUAGUACAAUGUUACCAGGUCUGCUUUUCUUUUUGAAAAGAACCUUGAAAUCUUAGAUGUUUUAUGUUAAAUUUCAUGGUUUUGAAAUCUUUGCAAUUCAGAUUUUUAAACUUUUAAUGUAUCAUAUAGGAAAAUACAACAUUUCUUGGUUUAUACCCACCCCCAGGCUACCAGUUAGUGAAGACCUCUGCAUUAUAAAAAUUAUCUGAAUAGUAAGCUUUCAAAGAAUAUUUUAAAAAUAUCAUCUGCUACACAAAAUUUUAUGUAAAUAGUUCUAAUUGGAAGAGAUAAGGUAAAAAUGCAUUUUGGAGACAGUACUGCUUACCCAAUAUGUAGAGUUCUUGAAUUUAAUAACACGCCAAAUAGGGCCAGACUGUUCUCAAUGUGGCUUGAGGGUUAGACCUUACUUUUAUGUGUUUGGCAAAUUGAGGAGAUGUGCAUUUCAUCGACCUAUCAUAUUAAUCAAAUAUAACAAAUGCUUUUCUAAUCACUAAGUUAUUCUAAUACAGGAUGUGGAAUUCCUGAACUCUCAUUGAUCUGGCAUUAAUUAGGUACAUAUGAAGCAUGAUAUUCUAUACAAUUUUGAGAAGGAAGAGCAUUAUAAAAUUGCAAAGUUUCACUUUUUGUCUUCAUGAUUAAUUUGGCUAAGAGUUUCCUAUAACAAGUGCUUGCUUGGUGUAUUUGUUUAUCCUGGUGAGGAGUUUGUGUUUUGCUUUUGUUUUUAUUUUUAUCUAAAGUUUAUUAUCCAACCAACUGUUCUAUUGAAUGAGUUCCUGUUACAGUUCCAUCGACAAAUAUUUUUACAAUGAAACACUUAAAUGUUUAACCUUAUCUCUGAGAGUCUCCCCUCCCACUUAGUGCUCCAACUGUACUGAACAGCCUGACAUUCCCUGAAGCCCCCUUCCUUUUAUGCCUCUGAGUUUGCACAUGCUCUGCUUUGCUUGGGAUGUCCCAUCUUUUAUCUGCUUCCUUAACUCCUUAGUUAUCCUGGAAAACACAGCCUAGAGGUUUCCUCCUGCAAGAAGCUGUCCUUCUUUCUCACAACCCCAAACUGUAACCACUUCAAGAGUUUACCCAAGUAAUAGAUGCGUACGUUCAACGCUUCCGUUAGUGAACUGUACAGUCUUGCAAUUUAUUUAUUUUAAAGUCUGCUCUCCCUUGGAGAUAAUGAGCUCCCUGUCUGGUUAGGGGCUGUGUUUUGUUUAUGUCUAUGUUCCCACACUCUCACGCCCAGCCUUCUCCAUUGGUAGUUGGUUAAGUAAGGCUGGAUUGAAUUUAAUUAAGUGUCAAAUAUUUCUUCAUAGAUACUGGCUAUUGGUAUCUUACUUUUAACCCAAAAUAUAUUUAUUUACCAUUUUAAAAAUCAAAAACUAAUCAACAUCACCACAACAAAUGCCAACCUCCACCUCUUUUAUUUUUGCAAUUUUUGUUCAUUGAGAAAUAGUCACAGCGACAGAAACACAUUAGUGUAAGUGGAUUUACAGAAGUAUCAAUAAGUGUGAAAUGCUCCCAGCGAUCCACUAGAAGUGUCAGUGAAGGUUCAUAAUUACACUAUCUUUAGAGCGAUUCCAGCCCAAUUCCUUAGCUCAGUCUUCAGGGAGAAUGGGCUGUAGACUCAGAGAUUCUUAACUUCCUAAAUCUUCAGUGGGGAACAGCAGCCCCUUGCCCCAGGAACCAGGCAUUGGGAGAAAUAGUGAGGUAAGGGCUGUUACAGCUUCUCGCAUCAGUUAUUACAAAGAAAAGGGACAGAGUCAACCAAUUGCUGACAUCUUUAGAGAAUUCUCUCUCUCUUUCUCUCUCUCUCUCUCUCUUCUUUGAGUGAGAAAUGUAAGUGGGUGCCCUGCGUUUAAGGAAGCCCCUUGGUGGCUGCUUUGUCUCAGAAUCCUGUUUCUCCUCAGUGAAGUGGAAGUGGGAUUGGAGUUUUCUCCACUUUCGCAAGGAGUAGCCACAAAGGCAGUCAAAGACAGUGACAUACACAUCCACAAAGUUCCUUAUGACACUUCUGUCAUCACUUGUUUCCUGCAGGAUCCUGAGGCAGGGUCGCCAUCCACUAACCCCUCUGAGGAGGCGAUCAGGCAAUCGGUUUACGUGUGUAUUUGUACUUUCCAGAUUGAUCUGUGCAGGGAGAAUAAAACAUUUUCCUCCUCCCUCCCUUCCCUCCCCCGUUUCACUCUACUUGGAGGGCGUGCAUAUGUGUGUGCGCGCGCGCACGCGUGUGUCUUUAGCAAAGGCUCUUGGAAGAAGCCACCCCUCUUGCAACCUCCAUCUCUACCUGAAACAUUUCCCCACCAAGAAGGGUCUCUAAUCUGUGCUCAGUCGAAGUGCCCUCUCCCUGCUGAUUCAGACAGACUCAGUGCUGAGCUGACGCUUUGGUGCUCUGGGAGAGCUGCUUGCCUCCCUCCUGGCGCGCUGAGCUCUUCCGGGGAUGCGCGAGCGCUGCUGCGUGUGUGGGGGUGUAAAUGAGCCUGUGUGUGUGAGUGACAGCUUCCUCGCCUCCUGCACUGUGCAGGUAGCGCGCACCCAAGACUAGAGAAAACAAGCCUCCGCCCCCUCAGCCAGGCGAUUGGCUGAUUUUUCUCCGUUCCUCGGUAGGACGAGGGAAGGACCAGCGACAUCCUCCAGCUCAACUGCAGUAAGGGCAGCCACCUCCAAUGCACGAGGCGGCUCACCUAAAAGGAAAGCUCAGCCAGGGAGGCGGCUUGGAGCGCCCUGGAUCCGGCUGAUGAUCUCCCCUCGGCUGUUCUCCCCCAAACCGAACCUUCCUAUCAAAAGAAGGUGCUGGAGCUGGUAUCUCCGGGACUUUUCCGGGCACCCAAAAUGCGCUCCUUCAGGAAGAGGUGGACGAGCUGCACGAUAAGUCUGCUCCUGAUCUUUUUAAGACAAAAGAAAAAGCAAGAACUGAGGGCCAGAGGGAAGUACAACUCAUGGGGUAACUCAGGAUAUAACAAAAAGUCAAGUCAUUAAAUGAAAUGUGAACAUAGAAGGUAGAGUGAGAGCUGAAAUUGUGUGUUCGUGUGCGCUUGUGCGUGUUUAGUCUCAUGAAUUAAAAAACAAAGACUGUUGUUGAGAAUUGUAUGCUUCUCUACACUGUUCCCAGCACGAGUUCAGCUUGCCCUGUGCGGUAGUAGUGACAGCUGUGUUGGCUCCCAGGGCUCACCACGUCAAAGGAGGAGUCACUGCAGAAGUGUCAACAGAAACGUGUGCCCUUGUUCCUCUAAUUUGAGCAGAAGUUAAACGAAAUAUCUGUUUCACCAUCCUGUUGCCUGUCCUUCUUGCUCUGCCCCAUCACUCUAGUGAGACAGUUGGUUUCCCAAGAGACUGAGGUUCAAGUCCCCAAAGCAGAGAAUGCCUCCUCCUCUCUGUCUCCCUAUUCCCUGGCUACUGUAGAUUUAUGGACUGAAUCAGAAACGACGGUACUAUCAAAGAUACCACGUUAUUUGCCCUCCUUGGAGUAAAGAUUUUUAUAGGCUUGGGUGUACUUGUAGAAACUGGGUACUGCACACAUAGAUUUGGUAAACUCUCUCGUGUUCGUCCAGAUGAGGUCUUAAGUUCAACAAAUAUCUCUGUGAUUUUAAAGCUUCCCCAGGAGGUGGCUAUGAUUUUGUGUUGCUGACAUAUCUUGGAACUAUUUCUGAGGAUGUGAACCUGAAUGUGAACUCAUUUAAUAGUCUAUUUCUGUAAAUCCUACUUCUCUUAUACGAGAAAGUGUACAUCCCAAAAAGUAUAGGCGUAGGUCUUUGUCCUAAUGUAAAUGUAUUUCGUUAGUUCUUUAUAUUGCUUAUCCACUAUCCUUAAAAUAUGUAGAAUAAGUAGCAUUUAUAACUUAUCUUAACCAUUAAUCAAAAUAAACUAUUAGGCUACUUAAAAUUCCUCUUACUUUCAUGGACCUGGCAUUUUUUGCAUUUCAUUUCAGAGAAGGUGAAUUCUGUUUGAAUGGAUCUCUCAUUAAGAGUUCUUCAAUCUUUAGCACUCUCUGGAAGUUUGCAAAGUCAAUUCCUCUUUGGUCUUGGACAUAUAAUGAGUUUCUUUAAUAAUGCAUAAUGAAUUUCACAUCGUGUCAUGGAUAGCUUGUGCUUGACCAACAUAUUAAACACUCAUACUUUAAAUAUAGAUGUUUUAAUAAGAGCUCAAUUUAAUGAUGCUCAGUGAAUGAUGAAUCUAUAAAAAUAAAACCAUCACAUGAUUGGCAUGUCCAGGGAUCAACUUGUGAGUUUUGAAUACACUAUCUUCACACUGUUAGAUUAAAA
RNAcentral lists this long non-coding RNA (6103 nucleotides) under Equus caballus (horse). Its description in RNAcentral is "lncRNA (ENSECAG00000056208.1)". Lineage: Eukaryota; Metazoa; Chordata; Mammalia; Perissodactyla; Equidae. The record is from RNAcentral.